Molecule: small nucleolar RNA, 109 nt
Organism: Tupaia belangeri (northern tree shrew)
Lineage: Eukaryota; Metazoa; Chordata; Mammalia; Scandentia; Tupaiidae
Source: Ensembl
AUCCUUCUGUGGGUCGUAAGUGUGAAGUUUGGGUUUUUGAGACGUUGUGUGUGAGAUAUGCCUCCCUGGAACCCUGUUACACGUGGGUCAGCGCGGUACCCAUCUGACA